RNAcentral lists this small RNA (125 nucleotides) under Marmota monax (woodchuck). The record is from RNAcentral. Lineage: Eukaryota; Metazoa; Chordata; Mammalia; Rodentia; Sciuridae.
UCCGGGCGUGGUGGUGCACAUCUGUAAUCCCAGUGGCUCAGGAGGAUGAGACAGGAGGAUCGCGAGUUCAAAGCCAGCCUCAGCCAAAGUGAGGUGCUCAGCAACUCAGUGAGACCCUGUCUCUA